GCUUUGCUGUUCCUCUCAGCCUAAGGCUAAGGCUAUUGGAAUCUUUAUAUGACAUUGCCCAUGACAUACCAUGUCAACAAUACACAUUCACUUCACUGCAAUACCUUAAUAAAACGAGCAGGAAAAUAAGUUUAUUCCCUCCUCCCCCCAAAAAACAGAAGCCAACUGAAAAUUUUACAUUUUUAUUUGUUUUGGUACAGGGUUUCUUUUUUUGUUUUUAUUUUAAAGAUUUAUUUUAUUUUAUGUAUAUGAGUACAUGUACAGCUGGUGUGAGCCUUCAUAUGGUUGUUGGGAAUUGAAUUUUUAGGAUCUCUGCUUGCUCCGGUUGCUCUGGUCGCCCCACUUGCUCAGGUCAACUCCACUUGCUCAGUCCCUGCCCGCUCAGGCCUAAAGAUUUAUUCAUUAAGUACACUGUAGCUAUCUUCAAACGCAUCGGGUGGUUGUGAGCCACCAUGAGGUUGCUGGGAUUUGAACUCAGGACCUUCGGAAGAGCAGUCAGUGUUCUUAACCGCUGAGCCAUCUCUCCAACUCCCCCCCCCCCUUUUUUUUUUUUCCUCGUACAGGGUUUCUGUAGCACAAGCAAGCCUGGAACUCACAGCAGUUUGGCCUUAGCCUCCUGAGAUGUGGCGCCACACUUAGCUUUCACAAUGUCAGUGGUACUGCUUAGUUAGUUGGGUUUGUUUAGAUAGGAUCUUAUGUAGAACAGGGUGGCCUCGGACUCACUGUAGCUAAAGCUAGCCUCAACUGAUUGUCCUGCCUCCACUACUUUCUGGGACUACAGAUGUGUGCUACUACCAUGACCUGCUUUUUGUUAAAACUGCUUUUUCAUAAAAUGAUAGAAGACCCAGAUGUGGGAAAGGGGAUUAUUAUUUGAAACAAGGAUGAUUCAGACUGGCCCUGAACCCUAGGUCUUCUUGAGAGCUAGACCUUGUAUAAUAUAUUGCAUUCAUAAAAACAAGGAAUACUUUUAAAAUACUUAAACUGUUUCUAGGUUUGUUGUUAUUGCUCUUACUGUUUGGCUUUGAGUUUUUUGUUUGGGUUUUGAGAUGAUCUCCAUCUGUAGGUCAGGCAACUUAUAGUUAGCUUCCUGCCUAAACUUCCCUGAGUGCUAAAGCUGAAGAAUUUAUUCUUUUACAUACAUCUAACUUAGUAGUUUUUUAAUACAAAAAUAGAAUUACUGUAUGGUGUCCUUGGUUUUAAGUGAAAGAAUAUUAUCUUAAUGGGCAAUAUUAUUUCCUCUUAGAAUUUAUGUCCAUGGGUUUGUAGAUUGUUUUGGAUGUUGGUAGAAAUUUGAUUUUUUUCAUAUUAGUUUGUGCCACUCAGGACCUAAGGAGAUGAUGGUGGUGGUGAUGAUGCAGUAGUUAUAGUAUCAGUCCUCUGAGUUAUGCAUUCAAAAUGUUCUCUGUGUAAUUGAAAUACUACUGUUGAACAGGAUUAAUGACAAUCCUAUGCCCUUUAUAAACAUUUUGGCCCUGUUUACAUAUUUUAUAAAUGAAGUAUUGAACUGGAUAAAGAUUUCCAAAGAACACCUUUUCUUGAUGUUUCAUUUUGUUUAUAGUACUGGAGAUUGAAUCUAGAGACUCAUGUAGACUAGGCUAGUACUCUGCCACUGUGCUGCCACAUUCCCAGCCACAGGUGUUCUUUUAAAUUGCAUGUGAUGGUGUACACUUAACCCCAACACUUGGGAAGCAGAAGUAGGCAGAUCUGGUUUGCAGCCAGCUUGUUCAUCAAAGUGAAUUCUAGGACAGCCAGGACUCACAGACUCUGUCUCAAAAACAAAACAAAAAAUAUCGAGGUUAUAUUCAGUGGUAAAGUGUUUGCUUAGCACUCAUAAGGUCUUUGUUUCAAUCCUCACCCCACUCCACCCCCAGUAUCACAAAAGAUAGAGUCACACAUAUUCAUAGGUAAUAUGAUCAAUUGUUUAUCUUUUGUAUCUUUUUUAACACAUUUUUUAUUAGAUAUUUUCUUCAUUUACAUUUCAAAUGUUAUCCC
This 1992-nucleotide long non-coding RNA is filed under the name Mus musculus (house mouse). RNAcentral describes it as "long non-coding RNA chr17:53486069-53488061". Lineage: Eukaryota; Metazoa; Chordata; Mammalia; Rodentia; Muridae. The record is from RNAcentral.